This 465-nucleotide ribosomal RNA is filed under the name uncultured bacterium. RNAcentral describes it as "partial 16S ribosomal RNA". It matches the Rfam family "Bacterial small subunit ribosomal RNA", at positions 28 to 507 of the family's 1533-position model. The record is from RNAcentral.
GACGAACGCUGGCGGCGUGCUUAACACAUGCAAGUCGAACGGAAAGGCCCCUUUGGGGGUACUCGAGUGGCGAACGGGUGAGUAACACGUGAGUAACCUGUCCUUGACUUCGGGAUAACUUCAGGAAACUGGGGCUAAUACCGGAUAGGAAUCCUUGCUGCAUGGUGGGGGUUGGAAAGCUUCGGCGGUUUUGGAUGGACUCGCGGCUUAUCAGCUUGUUGGUGGGGUAGUGGCUUACCAAGGCUUUGACGGGUAGCCGGCCUGAGAGGGCGACCGGCCACAUUGGGACUGGGAUACGGCCCAGACUCCUACGGGAGGCAGCAGUGGGGAAUAUUGCACAAUGGGCGGAAGCCUGAUGCAGCAACGCCGCGUGCGGGAUGACGGCCUUCGGGUUGUAAACCGCUUUCAGCAGGGGCGAAGCUUGUGGUGACGGUACCUGCAGAAGAAGCACCGGCUAACUACGUG